AGUGAACGCUGGCGGUAGGCCUAACACAUGCAAGUCGAACGGCAGCACAGGAGAGCUUGCUCUCUGGGUGGCGAGUGGCGGACGGGUGAGGAAUACAUCGGAAUCUACUUUUUCGUGGGGGAUAACGUAGGGAAACUUACGCUAAUACCGCAUACGACCUACGGGUGAAAGCAGGGGAUCUUCGGACCUUGCGCGAUUGAAUGAGCCGAUGUCGGAUUAGCUAGUUGGCGGGGUAAAGGCCCACCAAGGCGACGAUCCGUAGCUGGUCUGAGAGGAUGAUCAGCCACGCUGGAACUGAAACACGGUCCAGACUCCUACGGAAGGCAGCAGUGGGGAAUAUUGGACAAUGGGCGCAAGCCUGAUCCAGCCAUACCGCGUGGGUGAAGAAGGCCGUCGGGUUGUAAAGCCCUUUUGUUGGGAAAGAAAUCCAGCUGGUUAAUACCCGGUUGGGAUGACGGUACCCAAAGAAUAAGCACCGGCUAACUUCGUGCCAGCAGCCGCCGUAA
Molecule: ribosomal RNA, 506 nt
Filed under: uncultured bacterium
Lineage: Bacteria
Description: partial 16S ribosomal RNA
Rfam family: Bacterial small subunit ribosomal RNA
Source: RNAcentral